This 451-nucleotide long non-coding RNA is filed under the name Acromyrmex echinatior (Panamanian leafcutter ant). Its description in RNAcentral is "uncharacterized LOC105150990, transcript variant X2". Lineage: Eukaryota; Metazoa; Arthropoda; Insecta; Hymenoptera; Formicidae. The record is from RNAcentral.
CAGCGGAUAGGCUUGCGUCCUGUAGUAUAACGUUGAAAUAGUUCGCACCUCUGGCUUCAAGUCAUCAUGGACCUUUCCUUGAGAAGUAUCCUGAUCUCCAGAAAUAUCCUAGUUCCUGUUUCCAGAGAAUAAUAAAACGACGGAAAACGGCUCGAAAGGAUCGCGCGUUCGAAUUACACUAACAAGGACGCGACAACUCAGGACAGAUUGACUCCGCUCAGGAUGAGGUAGCGUCGUUAGUCAUUUAAUAGAUUAUAAUGUUGUACAGAGAUAAUACAAUUCCAUUAUUGCGUAUCGUAUGAGUGCAACCUAAUAAGGAUCUGAUAACUUGAGGAGGUAAAGAAAAAAAUUUGAAAAGAGGAGGAAACAAAGGCAUCAAUUGCAGUGAAGCAACUUCGCGAUAAUUUCAAUCUGAUCUGAAGAAAGAAGAAGGAAUACGAUACAAAGAAUA